CUUCGUGGACAUUUUGCCUGACUUUGGCAGCGCGUUUGCGGCUUUCCACUGCUCUAAAAUUCAAUUGGGCUAACAUUAACUAUUGUAGUGUUAGUGUGAUGUGCAGAAUCUCUCCUGUGCUGUCGUCGUCGUCGUCGUCGUCGUCUCGCGGCUGGCAGCCCGAUGAUGUAUUGCAGCAGCGCAGUAAUAAGUAAACCACAAGAACACCGACGCACACACACACACACACACACACAAGGGUACACGCAUGGAGCGUAUUCAAACAAUUACCAAUACACUAACACAGAUUGCCACCCACUUUUUGGCCGGCGGCUAACGGUUCCUGCUAACAUUGAUGAUUGCGGCUCGUUGACGGCGCCCGCCAUUGUUAUUGCUGUUCUUGUUCUUCUUGUUGUUGUUGUUGUUGUUGCUGUUGUCGGUGUCUGGAGACGCUCGAACGUGUGCUCAUCAUAAUCCCGAUAUACUAUAAGGAACAAAAAAAGCGGCCGCCGAUGCAAACACACACACACAUGCGCAUGCACUUCUCACGCAUACAUAAAUAAACAUGUGUCGCCGUGUGUUGUAACGAAAAGUGUAAAAUAAGCAUCAAUCAUCGCUUAUUUGAGUUGUCAUCAAUCACACACACACACACACAGAGAAAGAGAGAGAGAGAGAGAGACCGCGCUACGCUGCGGUGACAACAACAAAAACAACAACAACUACAACUACUGCAAGGGAAGCAACAAGCAGCAGCGGCGUCAUCCUUGAUGGAUACUGGCGAUGCGUUGAUAUCCUCGAUAUCCUCCCCUCUCAACACUUCACCCCCAACUCCUAAUCAGCUUUUGCCAGUUAUUAAAUCAUCAGGUUGCACGAUCAAGCGACCAAAAAAACGCCCAUCCGCUGUCACAUGUCUGUCAACAGUCAACAAAAAAAUAGCGAAGUAACCAAAUAUCCUGGUCGCAGGACGUUAACCAGGAAUUGCGUGCGUCAAGCUAGAAAAUAAAGAUUUAAUCGGCAUUUAUGUAUGUAUGUAUUUUUCAACGCCUUUUCGCAGUGUUUUGAAUGGAUGAAGCAUGUCAAGUAGUGUCCAAUCUCUGAGACUUUGAUAAACAUAUUUUAUUAUGUCAUGCGAAGAAAAAGAAGGAAGAAGAAAAAGGACAUUCGAGAGCACAACGGAGUGGAGGUGACUAAAGAUUAGCAAAGCAAAAGGAUGCGUGACAUCGAAAUCGAGUUUCGAAUUAUUUUAAAUCAGAGCGGAACAUUUGGAGAGUUCAGUUGAUAGUUGAACAAAUAAAUGGCACUAAAGUGAAGCUUCCACUGACGAACUGAUUGCCAGAUUCUGUCUGUCGAUGUCUGACGAAGAGUCGCAAAUUUGUUGCCCGGAAUCCGAGUGGCUUUAAGCAGGAAAGUGGACAAUUGAGUGAAGAGAGAAUGUGUGUGUGUGGACAGAUGUCUGGGGACAGAAAGCGCGAAGUCUGAACUCGGCUCAAUAAUUGCAAACUACUGAAGCAUUUAAUAUUUUGAGUGCAUUUCCGCGUUACGCGUUUGGCAGAGGGAAAAUCAACGAACCAACAACAGCAACAUCGGAAAAUCGAAAGUCUCAGCCUGGAGCCUGGACACAGUUGCUGUCUCUCUUUCUGGCUUGGCGUAAAGUUAAUAAAGCGCCCCCUGCAGGCAACAAACAAUUUGUCCAGAAGUUCAACUCGAGGCAAAGAGGGAAACUCAACGGACUGCGAACUUGAAAUUCUAAUUGGCAUUUUAUGCCGCAGCCAAUGCAAUGGAAGGAGGGGUGAAGAGGAGGAGGAGGAGGAGGAGAAAAGGGAGCAGGACACAGUGUGUUGGCUGUCGAACAGGUGUGAAAUCGUUGACGAAUUCUCACGAAUACGUUUAAUCCGCUUUCUGAUUUUUGUGUUGCAACUCGGUUGAGGAACACUUCCAUGGAGGAGGAGGAGGGAGAGUGGAGGAGCGAACCGUUGAUGAUGCCAGGCAAUGGGCAACGUUUUGCAUUUUGCGGGCGAUAUCAUGUUGGAUUAAAAGCGCGUCGUGCCCUUCGUUGCAAAUUAAUUUCGUGUACAUGUCCUGCAGCCUUUUGCAAGUUUAUGCGCCUGCAUCCAUCCAUCCACAUGUGUCUGCCUCACUCUCCCUCUCCCUCUCCCUCUCUCUCUCUCUCUCUCUCUCGCUCUCUGGGCACAUAUCGAGUUACCCAGCCAGGCUACGAACCUGUCCAUCACUUGACCCCUUUUGUGAUGUCCUGAUGUCCAGGACAACCGCAAAUGUUAAAGCGGCGUGACUUUAUUUGAUUGUGUCUGCGUUGAGUUGAGAGUCGAGAGUUGAGUUGAGAGUGCGCUGGCAUUUUUCGGUUUUUCGGGUUUCGCCUUGUUUUUAGAUCCGCUCGGAAAUUAUACAAAAACAGUAGAUACAUUUUAACAUAACACCGCAUUGUUGUCUAAAUUGAAUUUAAAACCCUUUCCCUUUUGUGGCACCUUUUCUAUUUUUAUUUAGUCAGUGUUUCUUUCGUGUUAAUGAAUGUGAUCAGAGGAAGCCAACAUAAAUACUUCAUUAACUUGCUGAAAGAAGCACACGAAAAGUUAAAGUAAAAAAGGAAAUUAGUUGCAAA
Drosophila nasuta is the source of this 2596-nucleotide long non-coding RNA. RefSeq lists it as uncharacterized. The transcript has 6 exons. Lineage: Eukaryota; Metazoa; Arthropoda; Insecta; Diptera; Drosophilidae. The record is from RefSeq and is a predicted model, not a curated record.